Passer domesticus (house sparrow) is the source of this 2662-nucleotide long non-coding RNA. RefSeq lists it as uncharacterized. The transcript is spliced from 3 exons. The record is from RefSeq and is a predicted model, not a curated record. NCBI's taxonomy places the organism in Eukaryota, Metazoa, Chordata, Aves, Passeriformes, Passeridae.
UGAGAUUCCACCCUGAGGGACCUGGACAAGGUGGAGAAAUGGGUCCAUGGGAAUCUCUUGGGGUUGGCUCCCAGUUCCUUGUCUGCAAAGAGGGUCAGUGCAGGAGAGGGUGGUCUGGCUUCAUCCACCUACUCUUCAUUCAGAAACCUGCUGGAAGGAUCCCCGGAAUGCGAGGCUCAAUGAAUUGCCCUUUCUCUUCUCCUGCCACCAUAUCUGCAUUAUCCUUUGCUCUUGGCCAAGGUCCAUGACAUUGUCUCCAUUCCAGCAUGACACUGUGAGACCCAGAGCAGGACACAGAACUCAGUCAGCUAAAAUCAAGACUCUGUGCAUGACUUUGAACUACAAACUUCUGGCUUUCUCCCCACUGUAACUCAGUGAACCACCAGAGAUUCUGAUAUCCAAUAUCAGCAUAUGAUCUGACAUUUGGCAUCCCACCCACUGGAGCUCCAGGAAGCUGAGAGGCAUUUCCAGCUCUUCAUCCUUCUUAAAAAGAGGUGCUAAAAUCAUAAAUAUAUGGUAAAGUCAGGGAAAAUACAACCAUGGAAUGGCUGGGUUUGGGUGUGUAAGCCUGGGGGAAGGGCCAUAACUUAAUCCUGGAACAGGAUGAAUAUUGGAAGGUCCCCCAGAUCCAUCAGCAGAAAACACUUAUGAUGUUAAUAAACUCCUGCUUUCUCCUUGUCAAUAUGGCUUUAGCAAAAUCAACAGCAUGGGGCAUGGAGCUCCAACUGUAGUGUAUAAUAAGGGGGUGUUGUACAUUGCACAAAUAUUAUGAUUUAUUUUCAGAAGGAGAGAGAUGCCACAGAUCCUUGUGCUCUCAGGGACUCUAAUUUAUUGCCUAAUUAAACACUUGCUGCCAGAUUGUCCAUCCUGUCAUUUUUAAUUCCUGGUCUAAUACCCCAGACAAGAGAACACUUAAGGAGGCUCCCUUCCACAAGUGAGGCUUAAAUGAGGAAAGAUGUUAAUGUCUGUUUCCUAAUCAAAGUCAAUAGGCUAUCAGGAGCAAUUACUCUUUAGCAGGUCUGUUCUUCUGACACCAUGCAAUGUGUAUGAAUCUGCCAAGGUCUGGUGACACUUUAUCCCCUUGCUGUGAUGGCAGAAGGCAAGGCUAGCAACUCAAAGCUCAGAGGAACCCUUGGCAAGACAUGCAGGCAACAGGGACAAGCAGAACAUGUUUCUUUUUCGCCUGAAACUAGAUUUUCUUCCUUCUAGAAGUGUUGUUUGGAAUGAAUGCUAAGGCAUCUUGAGGCAAGGGAGACCUGAGGACAUUUUAUUUUAGACUACCAAGUGCUCUCACUGCCUUGUAUAUUUUUUCCCUUUCUUCAUUCCUCUGAGAUGGCGACACUGGGCCUAACCCUGAGUUUUACAGAGUCACAGCUCUUCUCCAGGUCUGUCCUAGAAGCCUUACACAGGACUGCAAAAAAAGUAAAAUUUGAGAGAGAAAUACAUUUGAGAAAUUCAGCCUCUCUUGAUUGGAACCCCAGCUUUGUCCCUGUAGGUUGCUGACACGCUGCUUUUAAGUCCCUUCAAAGUCUUAAUUUCUCCAGGAUACACCCUCCUAGCUCUCUCACCCCCUCCUCAGCAGCAUGUGAUGAUCUUCUUGUCCUUUAGGUGCCUGGAAAUAAGUUAUAUGAAGCUUUGCUCUGUAAUUUUCCCAGGAAAUUAUGAUGAUAAUCUUAUAAUUCCCUGCAUCCUUCUUCUUGCCUGUUUUGAAAGUGGGCAUGAGGCUUCACAGCCUCUGGUUUUGGCUUUCCCUUCACUGUACAUCCCUUUGCCCAGUGUCUCAGUGGAUAAUCGGGUUGGAUUUGCCAUGGUUUUUGUUGGAGUGUGGCUACUGUGGUGUCUUCCUUGAGAACCUUGCAGAAGCUUCCCUUUUGUCUGAUGUGGGCUGUGGAGAAAUGAGCCCGUGCCAGGUUUGCUGGCAGAAAUUGUGAAUUUGUGGCUGAUCUGUGUUCCUGAAGGACCGACCCCCUGGGAGGGACCCACAGUGCAGCAGUUUGGGAAGAACUGAAACCCAUGGCUUGUGUUGGAGAAUUUCCUGGAGGAGUUUCUCACAUGGGAGGAACCCCACACUGGAGCAGGAGAAGAGUGUGAGAAGUUCUGCCUCUGAGGAGAAAGAAUGACAGAGAAAAUGGGAUGAACCGACCAUAACCCCCCUUCCCUUCCUCUACAGCACUGAGGUGAGGGUAGGUAGAGAAAUCGGGAGUGAAGCUGAGCAUGGGAAGAAGAGAGAGAUAAGGGGAAGGAAUUUUUAAGCUUUGGUUAUACUCCUCUGCUGUGACUGAUAAUAAAUUCUAUUUCCUUGAGUGGACUCUGUUUUGCCCAUGACAACAAUUUCUGAGUGAUCUCUACCUGUCCUUAACCUGAUCCAAAAGUCUUUGAUAUAUUUUCUCUCCCCUGUCCACCUGAGGAGGGAAGAGAGAGAAGUUUUGGUGAGCACCUGGUAUCCAGCCAGGGUCCACCCAGCACAAUAUUGCAUCCAGAAUGUCAGAAAAAGUGUGCUCAAAUUCUGUGCCUCCUGAUGUUGGUCAUCCACUGUGAAAACCUCUUCACAGAUUCUCCCACCUGAACAGGAAGGUCUGGCAAGGUCGUGGCCACAGCCUCAUUUCUCUUUGGAUCCAGCAGUAGCAGGAAAAAAAAUUGCAAUGCCUAUGAAAGUGUCAGC